GAGGAACCAGGCUGGAUGUUGGAAAGUCAGAGAGCCGUGUCUCUGCAGUCAGAGGUUUUUGUACGACGACUCAACCAGUUUGUAUCACUGUGGUACACGUUUGGUGGAGGAACCAGGCUGGAGUUUGGAAGUGAUACCCGCCCCACCCUGACAGUGCUGCCCCCCUCCAGUGUGGAGCUGCAGCAGCAGCAGGUUACCCUCCUGUGUCUGGCCAACAAGGGCUUCCCCUCAGACUGGACUCUGUCCUGGAAGCUGGACGGCAGCAGCAGCAGCAGCUGGGAGCAGAGCAGGAGCCCCGGGGUGCUGCAGAAUGACGGCCUCUACAGCUGGAGCAGCACCCUGAGGAUCCCUGCAGACCAGUGGAGGAAGGUGGGCUCUGUGACCUGUGAGGCCUCCCAGAGCUCCCAGCCUGCAGUCACAGAGACACUGAGGAGAGACCAGUGUUCCCAGUCCUGAGCUGAUUCUGAUACUGGCUUUAAUCUGUCACUGCUCUCACUCUUUCUCUGCUGAUUAUUCUCUAUUUUCACUGAGUCAUGUUUGCUUUGUCAUGUUUGUCACUGUUCAGAUAAUAAAUAUUUACUCAUCAA
This is a non-coding RNA of Poeciliopsis prolifica (blackstripe livebearer), 587 nucleotides long. The record is from the annotation of a RefSeq genome assembly. Lineage: Eukaryota; Metazoa; Chordata; Actinopteri; Cyprinodontiformes; Poeciliidae.